This 730-nucleotide ribosomal RNA is filed under the name Mazzaella parksii. RNAcentral describes it as "eukaryotic LSU rRNA". The stretch from base 154 to 306 matches the Rfam family "5.8S ribosomal RNA". Lineage: Eukaryota; Rhodophyta; Florideophyceae; Gigartinales; Gigartinaceae. The record is from RNAcentral.
GUAGUGGGAUGACAGGCUGAGAGCGGCGAUUCUGCCGUUUUUAGCCAGUCUUUCUAUCAUGUUUCGCGCACAACUUUUUAACAUACCUUUUUUUUAUAUCAAAACCCAACCCAAUAACACAAUAAAAAAACAAACAUAACAAACAAACAAAAAAACUCGUGACGGUGGAUGUCUAGGCUCCAGCAACGAUGAAGAACGCAGCAAAAUGCGAUACGUAGUGCGAAUUGCAGAAUCCGUGAAUCAUCGAAUCUUUGAACGCAAGUUGCGCUCGCGGGCAAUCCUGCGAGCAUGUCUGUUUGAGUGUCCGCACAAAUGAGACUUUUGCUUCUUUCCAACAGGGAAAGGAGCUGCUGAUGGGUGUUUUCUGUCCAAAUGUGCUUUUGAAAGGCACUGGUGCAGAACUUUUCCGUGCAACCCGAAAGGGGGAAGCGGUCACCUGAAGAAUAGCUUUGUAUGGGAUGUUGUUGUGUUGAUUCUUUUUGUGCAAGUUUAUGGCUUGGUGCAGAGCGGUUGUGGAAGGUGCAACCGCAGGAUCGACUAGACUAUGCUUUCCCCGCAGGAGUAGAAAUACUGUGUGAUGGGGAAUGGCAGAAGGAUGGUUGAUUUGGGGCAAAAUGCCCUCUGUACGUUUGCUUGCUUGUUUGACGAAAGAGAGACUAGACUUCAUUGUAACAUAAAACACUAUAACCACAUUUGGUCUCAAAUCAGACAAGACGACCCGCUGAAUUAA